Molecule: ribosomal RNA, 496 nt
Filed under: uncultured bacterium
Lineage: Bacteria
Description: partial 16S ribosomal RNA
Rfam family: Bacterial small subunit ribosomal RNA
Source: RNAcentral
AUGAACGCUGGCGGCGUGCCUAAUACAUGCAAGUCGAGCGAACAGACGAGGAGCUUGCUCCUCUGACGUUAGCGGCGGACGGGUGAGUAACACGUGGAUAACCUACCUAUAAGACUGGGAUAACUUCGGGAAACCGGAGCUAAUACCGGAUAAUAUAUUGAACCGCAUGGUUCAAUAGUGAAAGACGGUUUUGCUGUCACUUAUAGAUGGAUCCGCGCCGCAUUAGCUAGUUGGUAAGGUAACGGCUUACCAAGGCAACGAUGCGUAGCCGACCUGAGAGGGUGAUAGGCCACACUGGAACUGAGACACGGUCCAGACUCUUACGGGAGGCAGCAGUAGGGAAUCUUCCGCAAUGGGCGAAAGCCUGACGGAGCAACGCCGCGUGAGUGAUGAAGGUCUUCGGAUCGUAAAACUCUGUUAUUAGGGAAGAACAAAUGUGUAAGUAACUAUGCACGUCUUGACGGUACCUAAUCAGAAAGCCACGGCUAACUACGUG